UGAUCCUGGCUCAGAACGAACGCUGGCGGCACGCCUAACACAUGCAAGUCGAGCGCUCACUUCGGUGGGAGCGGCGGACGGGUUAGUAACGCGUGGGAACAUACCCUUUACUACGGAAUAGCCUUUGGAAACGAAGAGUAAUACCGUAUACGCCCUACGGGGGAAAGAUUUAUCGGUAAAGGAUUGGCCCGCGUUAGAUUAGAUAGUUGGUGGGGUAACGGCCUACCAAGUCUACGAUCUAUAGCUGGUUUGAGAGGAUGAUCAGCAACACUGGGACUGAGACACGGCCCAGACUCCUACGGGAGGCAGCAGUGGGGAAUCUUAGACAAUGGGGGAAACCCUGAUCUAGCGAUGCCGCGUGUGUGACGAAGGCCCUAGGGUCGUAAAGCACUUUCGCCAGAGAUGAUAAUGACAGUAUCUGGUAAAGAAACCCCGGCUAACUCCGUGCCAGCAGCCGCGGUAAUACGGAGGGGGUUAGCGUUGUUCGGAAUUACUGGGCGUAAAGCGUACGUAGGCGGAUUAGUAAGUUAGAGGUGAAAUCCCAGGGCUCAACCCUGGAACUGCCUUUAAUACUGCUAGUCUAGAGUUCGAGAGAGGUGAGUGGAAUUCCAAGUGUAGAGGUGAAAUUCGUAGAUAUUUGGAGGAACACCAGUGGCGAAGGCGGCUCACUGGCUCGAUACUGACGCUGAGGUACGAAAGUGUGGGGAGCAAACAGGAUUAGAUACCCUGGUAGU
Molecule: ribosomal RNA, 734 nt
Filed under: uncultured marine bacterium
Lineage: Bacteria
Description: bacterial SSU rRNA
Rfam family: Bacterial small subunit ribosomal RNA
Source: RNAcentral